CAACCUACGAGCUGUUAGAAGGGUUCUUACAUGCGGUUCCGGGUACGGGUAUGUGGGAAUGUGUGGACUUUUAUCCGGUUGCAAUAAACGGGUCCCAGGGAUUAGAUACAUCAGCUAAUGGACCGGAUAUUAAGCAUGUGCUAAAGGCUAGUUUGGAUAAUACAAAAGUAGAUUAUUAUGCACUCGGAACCUAUGACCCAGUAACAGAUAGAUGGACACCCGAUAACCCGAAGGAGGAUGUGGGUAUUGGGUUACGGGUGGACUAUGGAAGGUACUACGCCUCAAAGACAUUUUAUGACCAGUACAAGAAAAGGAGGAUUCUAUGGGGUUG
RNAcentral lists this unclassified non-coding RNA (331 nucleotides) under Hevea brasiliensis (rubber tree). The record is from RNAcentral. Lineage: Eukaryota; Viridiplantae; Streptophyta; Magnoliopsida; Malpighiales; Euphorbiaceae.